UUAAUUGAAACCAAAAAGAGGUAUAUUACUGUUAAUAAUACUAUUGAAUACAGAUUCCAAUUAAG
This 65-nucleotide transfer RNA is filed under the name Troglophilus neglectus. Its description in RNAcentral is "tRNA-Asn". The record is from RNAcentral. Lineage: Eukaryota; Metazoa; Arthropoda; Insecta; Orthoptera; Rhaphidophoridae.